Non-coding RNA from Leptonychotes weddellii (Weddell seal), 400 nucleotides. Lineage: Eukaryota; Metazoa; Chordata; Mammalia; Carnivora; Phocidae. The record is from RefSeq and is a predicted model, not a curated record.
CUUCGUUAGACCACAAGGUAUGUCCUUUUGGAAAAGUCAACUUAACUUCAUUGAUCUGCAAGGACUGUUGAAAAUUUAAAAAUUUGCUAUGGGAUCCUGACAUGCCAGAAGCCACUAGAAAAAGAAUUUUGAUAUUCAGAACCUCAUCAAGAGGUUCCCCUCAUCUUUGGAUAGAGACCAAAAUGAUACUUUCAAUCAGCUGGUCCUCUCCUCAGGUGUAGAGCACCUAUUAUCAUUUCACCUGUUUUGAUUCUCUGAUGAGGAAAAUCCCAGGACUUAUCAGCCGGGAUAGGCCUCAUUUCCAAGACAGCUCUGUUCAGUGUUUGGAAGAAAGCCUGACAGGUUUCUCCGGAAAAGUGGCCAUCCAUGGAAUGAAUGAAAUGUUCCCUUUCUGUUCCAG